GUGCAGCAGUCGCGAAACCUCCGCAAUACACGAAAGUGUGACGGGGUUACCCAAAGUGUUCUAUUUAGAACUGUGGUAGGUGAGUAAUAUUCCCUACUAGAAAAGAGAGGGCAAGGCUGGUGCCAGCCGCCGCGGUAAUACCUGCAGCUCAAGUGGUGGCCGCUAUUAUUGGGCCUAAAACGUCCGUAGCCGGUUUAGUAAAUGCUUGGGUUAAUUGUGUAGCUUAACUAUACGAAUACCGGGUAGACUGCUAAACUUGGGACCGGGAGAGGCUAGAGGUACUCCUAGGGUAGAGGUGAAAUUCUGUAAUCCUAGGGGGACCACCAGUGGCGAAGGCGUCUAGCUAGAACGGGUUUGACGGUGAGGGACGAAGCCCUGGGGCGCAAACCGGAUUAGAUACCCGCGUAGUCC
This 411-nucleotide ribosomal RNA is filed under the name uncultured euryarchaeote. RNAcentral's name for it is "bacterial SSU rRNA". It matches the Rfam family "Archaeal small subunit ribosomal RNA", at positions 330 to 747 of the family's 1478-position model. Lineage: Archaea; Methanobacteriati; Methanobacteriota. The record is from RNAcentral.